AGAGUUUGAUCCUGGCUCAGGACGAACGCUGGCGGCGUGCCUAACACAUGCAAGUCGAGCGAGGACCAGGGAAGAGCCUGCUCAGAACUGGUUCGAGCGGCGGACGGGUGAGUAACGCGUGAGCAACCUGCCUUCGACAGGGGGAUAACGCAUCGAAAGAUGUGCUAAUACCGCAUAAGACCACGGGGCCGCAUGGCCGUGGGGUCAAAGGAGCAAUCCGGUUGAAGAUGGGCUCGCGUCCGAUUAGCUGGUUGGUGGGAUAACAGCUUACCAAGGCGACGAUCGGUAGCCGACCUGAGAGGGUGAUCGGCCACAUUGGAACUGAGAGACGGUCCAGACUCCUACGGGAGGCAGCAGUGGGGAAUAUUGGGCAAUGGGCGAAAGCCUGACCCAGCAACGCCGCGUGAGGGAAGAAGGGUUUCGGCUCGUAAACCUCUGUCCUAUGGGACGAAGGAAGUGACGGUACCAUAGGAGGAAGCCCCGGCUAACUACGUGCC
RNAcentral lists this ribosomal RNA (497 nucleotides) under uncultured organism. Its description in RNAcentral is "SSU rRNA". It matches the Rfam family "Bacterial small subunit ribosomal RNA", at positions 8 to 509 of the family's 1533-position model. The record is from RNAcentral.